GGUUUAACUAUCCUAUACAGGACUUGAAAAUUAUUCAUAAAAAAUAUUAUUGGAUCUUAGUUGGGUCAAUUAUAAAGUUAAUAUGCUCAUCAAGACAAGUAAAUAUCAGAAUAUUAAAAUAAUCUAACCUUUAGAAUUAGAUGGGUUAAUUAAGAACAAACCGAUAUUAAUAAGUCAAAUGUAUAUGAUAGAGAUUUUAAGAAAUAUCUUUGUUUGAUGUCAUCAUGGGUAGAUCGG
Molecule: long non-coding RNA, 237 nt
Filed under: Elaeis guineensis (African oil palm)
Lineage: Eukaryota; Viridiplantae; Streptophyta; Magnoliopsida; Arecales; Arecaceae
Description: long non-coding RNA (EGUI_LNC009321)
Source: RNAcentral